UGUAUUUUUCCUGGGGGUUGAAAUGUCUAACACAUUUAAGGUGAGAGGAGAUAUGAGCGGCAAGUUUGCUUCUUUCCACAGACGAAUGAGUAGCUGGAGUCUCUGCCUGGGAGAGUGGGGGGGGAGGUGGCUCCAAUCCUGCACGUGAUCCCGUUUGCCCCUCCCAUUUAACCGUAGAUUGGCAGCACCUGCGCGUCAGUUUCCGAGGCCCCGCCUCCCGAUGAUGUAACAAUCUCUUCGCGCAUGUUCACAGUCUCCGGGUGGACGGUGUUAUCCUCUCCGCUCAGUGGGUCGGCUGUAUUACCGGGAAAGACUUUCGUCUCUUCCGUCGGGAUCACUGUCUGCGGGCCGAAGAUAUCACUUCCCCAUCGUUAGACCUGCAGUGACAGAUUUAUUGGAAGAAAAACCACAACUGAAGACGAGGGAACAGCAACAAGUGAACCAGCCCGAGGACUGAGAGCACCGACUGGAGAGGACCCAUCUGACUUGGAGAUUCCAUUGAUUCAGUCCGGAGAAAGUUUGGUCGAAUUGCGAGCUCAACACUCAAUCCGGCACGGAUGGAAAGCGUACAAGGGAGCGACUGUAUUCGAACCCAGGGACCUCCGUUACGGAGUCCGGCGCUGACGUCACUACGCCACCAGGACCUUGGGCAAGACUCCCAGAAGAUUAGUUUACGGGUUGAGUCUAUGGUAACGAAGGCAACUGCAAUGCUGGCUUUAUUUAAAGUGAAGUAGAAUAUACUAGCAAGGAGAUAAUGCUGUUACUUUAUAAGAGACUACUCAGGCCACACGUCAGAACAUAAGAAAUGGGAGCAGGAGUCGGCCAUUGGCCCAUUGAGCCUGCCCCGCCAUUCAAUAAAAUCAUGGCUGAACUCAGCUCCAUCUACCAGCCUUUUCCCUAUAACCAUUAAUUACCUUAUUCUGCAAAAACCUAUCUAACUGUAUCUUAAAUAUACUUCGUGAGGAAACCUCAACUGCUUCCCUGGACAGAGAAUUCCACAGAUUCAGCACUCUCUGGGAAAAACAGUUUCUCCUCAUCUCCGCCCUAACUCUUCUCUCCUGAAUCUUGAGGCAAUGUCCCCAAGUUCUAGUCUCAUCUACCAAUGGAAACAACUUUCCUACUUCUAUCUUAUCUAUCCCUUUCAAA
Long non-coding RNA from Hypanus sabinus (Atlantic stingray), 1146 nucleotides. RefSeq lists it as uncharacterized. The transcript is spliced from 3 exons. Lineage: Eukaryota; Metazoa; Chordata; Chondrichthyes; Myliobatiformes; Dasyatidae. The record is from RefSeq and is a predicted model, not a curated record.